This is a small nucleolar RNA of Ornithorhynchus anatinus (platypus), 138 nucleotides long. The record is from RefSeq and is a predicted model, not a curated record. Lineage: Eukaryota; Metazoa; Chordata; Mammalia; Monotremata; Ornithorhynchidae.
CCCCUCUCAGGGUGGCACCUGGAGGGUUUCCGGCACCCCGCCACUCUCGGCUACGGGAGGGAGAGUCAAGCGGAGGCCUACCCAUUCCAUUCCUAGCUUGCCCCGUGGCUAGCGAGUGGAAGGCAAUCUGCUACAAGU